AGUGAAUGAAGUAGAGUCCGUUAUCAACCCAUAACAUCUGCUGCAGUGUCAAGUGAUGAAACGAGCAACUCCAAAGUCCAAGACAGCUGCGAUGGCUUUCUUAAUACAGUUGGGUAUUGUGCAAACAAACAGGCGCUGAUACGGUCUAUGCCUGUCACAAUUAUUCAGGCGAGUGAUACAUCUUCCUGUAUUAGCUGCUUGAACAGUCCUAUUUCGGUUUGUUUGUUUGUUUAUUUGUUUGUUUGGGAGGAGGGGGGAUUUUCUAUAAUAACAAGGCGGCGGGUGGGUGGGGGUAGGGGAAGGGAAAGUUAACUACUGCUUAACAAUCGCCGCUCAGCUCCCUAGCCUCGUGAAAGGAAAAGAGGAAUGCUGGAAACGAAUAAGAAAGGGGGGGGGGGAAAUACAAAUUAAAAUUGGGCACUGGAGCAACAAAGCAUAAACUUAAAUAAACAUGAUAAAAGUCGAGGGAGCCAGCUUCUCUCUACAGGGCAAAUGCAUCCAAGAGAAUACCUUUGCUGAGCACAGUUAAAAACAAAAAAGGGAGCAGUUGUAUAUGUAUAUACAGAGAAGCAGUGUGGUAUAGUGGUUAGAGUGUUGGAAAAGGACUUGGGAGACCAGGGUUUGAAUCCCCACUCAGUUCUAAAACUCACCAGGGAAUUUGGGGCCGGUCGCUGUCUCUCAGUCCAUCCUACCUCACAGGGCUGUCAUAAGGGGGUGUGGGAUGAAUGAGGAGAACCACAUUCACCACCUUGAGAAAAAAAGAGGAGAAAUGUAAGAAUACUAUAAUACAUGCACAAUCACACACACACACCAUCUUCUUAGGAUUCUGAGUUCACUCUUAUAUCGUGUUUUAAGGGAGGUAUCUAGGCCUAGGACCCAUGUACCUACGGGACCACCUCUCCUGGUAUGCCCCGCGGAGGACCUUAAGGUCCACAAAUGACAACACUUUGGAGGUCCCAAAUCUCAAGGUGGUUAGAUUGGUCUCAACUAGGGCCAGGGCCUUUUCAGCACUGGCCCCGACGUGGUGGAACACUCUGUCACAAGAGACCAGGGCCCUGCAGGACUUGACAUCUUUCCACAGGGCCUGCAAGACAGAGCUGUUCCGCCUGGCCUUUGGUUUGGACUCAGUCUGACCCUUAUGUUUCCCUCCCCUUAUGGUUUUGAACUAUGGGCUACUAUUAAAAUGAGGCUGCAUUUUAAAUUGUAUUUUAACCCGUAUUUUAAAUUGCCCCCCUCAUUAUGUUUUUAUAGUGAUUUUACUGCUGUUAGCUGCCCUGAGCCCGGCUCUGGCCGGGGAGGGCGGGGUAUAAAAAUUAUUAUUAUUAUUAUUAUUAUUAGAGCAUCUUGCAUGCCACAGGACUGGUGCCUUCAGGGACUGGACCUCAGGCAAAAAGGAGAGUCAGAUGGUGUCUGGUUCCUACUUUCUCCCAGAAAACAAAGCCAGCAGUUAAGGUUGGUCUUGGCCUUUUCAAUGGGUUUUUCCACCUGGCGCCUGCCUCUCCUUCCUGUCUGACACCUCACCUCCUGACAGUCCCAAAUAACACUGGACCAUCCAAACUGACCCACAGAGAUCCAUAGCUGUCUCAACUGGACUCAACCAAUGCCUGAAUCAUCCCAAUGUGCCUUGAGCACUGGAGCACAACUCUAGUUUCCUCUGCCCCCCAAAUUAAACUGGGAGUCAUGGGAAACAACAGCUUUCUAGACUCCCAGCCGUCAUUUCUUUCUGGGACACAUGGGAAGCUGCUUCUACUGAGUUAGACUCCUAGUGCAUCUAGCUCAGUAUCGCAGGCACUGACUGGCAGACGCUCUAUAGAGUUUCAGACUUGCAUCUUUUCAUCGGCUGCGUGAAGGCGCUGGGGAUUGAGACUGGGAUUGAACCUGCCAAGCUUGUGUCCAACCACAGAGCUACGGUCUUGGAGCUACGACCAUGAAAAAUGUUGAGUUUCUUCUCCCUCUGUAUUCAGUUUGGGAGGACGGGGAAAUCAGAAAACCUGUGCUCCCCAGCUUCAUUUGAAGCAGAUCUUUCCUGUGCUUAGAGAUGUGAUCGCUUCGGUGUUACCCAUUCCCAUUUCACAAAAUGAAGUUGUUUUGCUUAGUUUCGAAAUGGCGUAGAAGUUGAGAGCAUGCGCCAACCCUUUUUUUACACUUUCUCUGAAAAGCUGAAGAUCUCCUGGGAAAGCUUAAGCCAGGCUUAAGCAAACUCGGCCCUCCAGAUGUUUUGGGAUUACAAUUCCCAUCAUCCCUGACCACUAGUCUUGUUAGCUAGGGAUCAUGGGAGUUAUAUUCCCAAAACAUCUGGAGGGCUGAGUUUGCCUAUGCCUCGCUUAAGCAAAGAAUGAAUGGAUCCCAAAGAUUAGGUUGCCCUUCGCCAGUGUUUCAGAUAAUAGGCAGAGUCAAUAUUGCUGCUUCUUCAUUUUUGUUAAAUUGAAAUUAUGAGCCCUAGUACUAGUCAUUUGCUGACCAGGGUGUUACGGGAUUUGGGGUUUGAAUAUAGGCAUUGCCCUGGUCAAAAAACAGCUGUCUGUUCUUGGGGGUAUAGAAUGUGGCCAAAUAAUGCUAAUUGUUUCUGAACUAGAGAUUGGAGAGAAAUUUGAUUCAGUUUGGAUUUGGAUUGGAUUUGAUAUCCCGCUUUAUCACUACGCUAAGGAGUCUCAAACAAUCUCCUUUUCCCUUCCUCCCCCACAACAAACACUCUGUGAGGUGAGUGAGGCUGAGAGACUUCAAAGAAGUGUGACCUGCCCAAGGUCACCCAGCAGCUGCAUGUGGAGGAGCGGGGAAUCGAACCCGGUUCACCAGAUUACGAGUCCACUGCUCUUAACACUACACCACACUGGCUCAUUUAUAGUUGAACCUACCAAAUCUACACUUCCCCAAGCCAUACAAGGACUGGAACAUAGCCACCCUUUGAAAUUUGCACUUCUCCGAAUUUUGCAGUGUUGUUCUCCGGCCAAGUUAUAUGUACAAAAAUGGAAAUAUUGGGAUACAGUGUGCAUAGAAAUGCAGUAUAUUAUGGAAAGUUGCUUUGCAAAAAAAUGAUUAUAUGUGGGGGAAUUCACACUAAAAUGUUGGUGACGUUUCAUGAUGAUUUGUUUUUAAUGCAAACUAAUGUGAAACUGGGGAGAAUUGAACUUAAGAUUGGAAAAAAUGAGAAACUGAUGGAAAAUGGAAUGGGCUGAUUUGCUCACCCCUACUCUUAACUGUUUUAAAAAUUGAUGGAAAAGCAUAGGGUUUAGUCCUCCCCGAAACUGCCCACAAUUCAGGAUAUACUGGCCCCAAAUUAUGGACAGUAUUCAACUAAUGCAUCUCAUUGGUGAAACAAUUUCGCUUGUACAAUGGGACUCUCCUCCCCCUGUGUACCUCUACACCCUCCCCAAAUCUGCUCCUGGGGGUUGGGAGAACACCUAGAACAAAUUUAAGGAGUGUGCAAGGGGAAGAGAUUGGGAGAACAUUCCAUUGCACAAGCAGAAUGUUUUUGCGCUGCUAAAACAAUCAUGUAGCACUACUUUGGAAACAACCACACAUACUUGAAAACUCAAUUGCAUAUAUAAAGCUAUUGUGUGAGAAAGAAUAAUAGAAUUUGGUAGUUGGAGAUCAUCUAGUACAGUGGUUCCCAAUUAGGUCCCCUGGGAGUCUGUGGAACAAUGCCAGGGGGUCCGAGGCCCCAUUCUUUUCCUCCCCCCAACUAUUUUUUUUUUUUUUGGUCACUUUUGCGUGGCAAUAUCACAAAGUUCAUGGUCUGUUUUAGUGCUGUGUGUUUUUUCAAUAUAUCUGCCAAAAUUGGUUUUGAAAUCACACCGCGAUAACGAUUUUGACCCGGCAAUACACUGUAACAUAUCGCUCCUCGCGUGAGGGAGAAAAGGGCAGCUGAAUUCAAGGCACUACCAAUAUGGCACGAUGAUCUCAGCCAAUAGUGCUGCUGGUCUGAACUGUCUUCCCUCACACUGAGGGAGACCAGGGCAGCCAACUGCAAAGCGCUGCCUUCCCCUCAUGCUGACGGAGAACAGGACAGCUGAUUACCCUCACUUCAAGGCACCUGUCAGGACGCUGUCAAUGACUCCCGGCUGGUUGCCCAGGAAAGUAUAAAGACAAGUAAAAGUUUCUUACAUUCCUUUUUUAAUUCAAUCUUUACAGAGAGAGGCUAUAGAACCCAGCUUCUUGGAUAAUAGAGUGAAUCUCCUGUGCGAAUCUCCACCCCUUUCUCUCCCACUACCUCAUUUGUCAUCAUCAUCCACUAAGCGCCGCUAAGCUCCCUCUGUCUUUGAGCUCUUUGCUCUCCUACUUUUAAGGCUCGCCGGGUUCUGGGAGAUGGUGGGUCUGGAAUGCUUUCCAAUGACAACAUGUCAGCCAGCUGCUGGUCUGGCUCUGCCUGUUCCUCCUCUCCCAUUAUUUCCCAACUUUCCCCCUCAUCUGCCUCUGAGCUGUGACCUCCCUCAAACCCCUGUUGACAAUCUAUACUGUCUUCCUCUUCUUCCUCCCUUGAAGGGUCAGGAGGGGGAGGCGGUCUCCACCAUUCCUCCUCUGCCCAGUCCCUGACAGCACCAUGGCACUAUCUUCCCCUGGCACUGAGGCAGAGCAGCUUUUCUCAGUCAGCAGGAAAGCAGCAGCAGCCACAGUGGACGUGCAUUUUCACUGGCUGCCACCACUGGCUACCCCACUGACAGUGGCUUGAUGCACCCGCCCAUCCCCACAGUGGUGGAGGAACUCUCUCUGGCACUCAGGGCAGGACAUCGAGGGGCGGGGCGAACUGUCCAGUGGUGCACGCACAACGUCCGGGUGGCAUCCCGUACAGAGUGUGCAUGUGCGGCAUCCUGUACGGAGUGUGCACACGCAGCAGCCCGUGCACUCCGUACAGGAUGCUGCACAUUCACACUCCGUAUGGGAUGCCGCGCACAUGGCAUCUAUAUGAGCUGCCGCUCGCUUGCGCCAUCCAUCUGGGCAUCCAUAUGGACUGCCACUUGCAUGACGAGCAUAUGGGCUGCUGCGCAAACGGCAUCCCAUACGGAGUGCGCAUGUGCGGCUGCUCAUACGAACGCCUGUAUGGAUGCCACGCGAGCAGUGCCCAUACUGACUGUGCAUGCCCUCAGCCGCUCUAUAGCUGGGGGGAGGCAGGGGCCAUCUUGUCACCCCCCCAGUGGCACUCAGGGCUGACGGCCCUCUCUGCCCCGCACUUCGUACGCUCCCGCGUCCCCAUCCCCUCCCACUCAAACCAUGCGAUAGUGGUGACUCCAAUUCCUCUCCUCCCCCACCCACCCGACCUCCAUGACUCCUCCUUUCCUCCUCCCCACUCCUGAUCUACAUGCACCUCACCCGCCUGACAGGGACUGGGCAGAGGAAGGAUGGUGGAGACCGCCUCCACAGCCUGACCCUUCCAGAGAAGAAGACAGUUCAGAAUUACAACAGCGGUUUGAGGGAGGUCACAGCUCAUAGGCAAAAGAGGGGGAAAACUGGGAAAUAAUGGGAGAGGAGGAGGAGGGAGAGGAAGCACCAGGAGGACAACAGCUGACAGACACAGUGUCUUUAGAAAGCAUUCCAGACCCCCCCUCCCAGAAGCUGGCAAGCCUUGAAAGUAGUAGAGCAAAGGGCUCAGAAGCAAAGGGUCCUCAGCACCACCUGUAGGGGAGAAGGUGAUGAAUGAGAAAGUGGGGAAAGGGGGGGGGAGAGUCACUCUGGACAACACCAUUAUUCCAAGAGGCUGCGUUCCAAGCAUCUCUCUGUAAAUAUUGAAUAAAAAGCAGAUGGUGAGGACUUUUCCUUGUCUUACCUGUUCCUGGCAAACUGGCAUGAGGGAUGUUUCCUCUGCUGCCUGACACUGCCCAAGUGAAACAAGUGCUCCUUCGCUCAUCUCCACGCAUGUCCUCCAGUUUCAGACAUCACAAUAUGUCAGAAUCUGUGGCUUGGCUUUUGAGAAAUAGGGGGUCCUCAUUAAUUAGCUAAUUGGGAACCACUGAUCUGGUCCAAAGCUCUGCAAUGCAGGAAUAGGUGGCUGUCCCAUAUGAGGAUUGAACCUGCAACCUUGGUGUUAUCAGCACCACUCUCUAACCAACUGUGAUAGCCAGGCUAAGCUCAAACUGCUCUCCUGCAUGAUCCAACGUUACAUGUUUUGUGGGGGGUUUCUUGCUGGGAGAAUAAUGAGACCUGCCAUUACUCCCCUGUCUUCACAUUCUGAAUGGUAUGCUCUUAAGUGGACCGUACCACAAACCCAACCCUUUCAUUUUUCUCUUAUGCAGUUACCAAUAUGGCUUCACCAACAGUGCAAAUUCCUGCCCAUAAGACUGUUGCACUACCUGCAAGAUUCUGGUGUUCAUAGAGUUUUGAAAGAG
This is a non-coding RNA of Podarcis lilfordi (Lilford's wall lizard), 6320 nucleotides long. The record is from the annotation of a GenBank genome assembly. Lineage: Eukaryota; Metazoa; Chordata; Lepidosauria; Squamata; Lacertidae.